This 425-nucleotide ribosomal RNA is filed under the name uncultured Methanosarcina sp. RNAcentral's name for it is "bacterial SSU rRNA". It matches the Rfam family "Archaeal small subunit ribosomal RNA", at positions 322 to 747 of the family's 1478-position model. Lineage: Archaea; Methanobacteriati; Methanobacteriota; Methanomicrobia; Methanosarcinales; Methanosarcinaceae. The record is from RNAcentral.
CCUACGGGGUGCACCAGGCGCGAAAACUUUACAAUGCGGGAAACCGUGAUAAGGGAACACCGAGUGCCAGCAUCAUAUGCUGGCUGUCCAGAUGUGUAAACUACAUCUGUUAGCAAGGGCCGGGCAAGACCGGUGCCAGCCGCCGCGGUAACACCGGCGGCCCGAGUGGUGACCGUUAUUAUUGGGUCUAAAGGGUCCGUAGCCGGUUUGGUCAGUCCUCCGGGAAAUCUGAUAGCUUAACUGUUAGGCUUUCGGGGGAUACUGCCAGGCUUGGAACCGGGAGAGGUAAGAGGUACUACAGGGGUAGGAGUGAAAUCUUGUAAUCCCUGUGAGACCACCUGUGGCGAAGGCGUCUUACCAGAACGGGUUCGACGGUGAGGGACGAAAGCUGGGGGCACGAACCGGAUUAGAUACCCGGGUAGUCC